Molecule: ribosomal RNA, 254 nt
Filed under: uncultured bacterium
Lineage: Bacteria
Description: partial 16S ribosomal RNA
Rfam family: Bacterial small subunit ribosomal RNA
Source: RNAcentral
UACAUGUGGGGCAAGCGUUGUUCGGAAUCACUGGGCAUAAAGGGUGCGUAGGCGGCGUGACACGUCCUGGGUGAAAUCCUGCGGCCCAACCGUGGGUCUGCCUGGGAUACGGUCAUGCUGGAGUGCGUGAGGGGUGACUGGAACGCGUGAUGUAGCGGUGAAAUGCGUAGAUAUCACGCGGAAGGCCAACGGCGAAGGCAGGUCACUGGCACGCAACUGACGCUGAGUGCACGAAAGCGCGGGGAGCAAACAGG